GGACUCAAACUCAUGAACCGUGAGAUCAUGACCUAAGCUGAAGUCAAACACUUAACCAACUGAGCCACUCAGGUGCCCCUGUUACUUUUUUUUUUAAACUAGAAGAUCAGUUUUCAGGAAUUCAGGAGAAAAUACCUAUCCAAGCUUGGUUAUUCUUCCAGAGUUUAGGCAGCUUAACUAAAAAGGGAAAAUAUUUCAAAAUCACUUGAUUUAAAACCACUGAAGAAUGGUAUGAUGACAUAUGUAGGAUUAGAAUGUGAUACUUAAAAGUAAUUAUUAACCACAAAAAAUAAGAACAACUUAGAAUCAUCUGAACAUAUACACAAUGUGGAACUUAAAUGUUUUCUUAGGAAAUGUGGAAUAAACUAUCUCCUUUCACUCAGCUUUGACUUAAAAGAUAUCUCAACUGCAUUUUGGGUAGAGUUUGUUAGGUAGCAACAAAUGUUGAAGACAAAGUGCCGUUAAAAAGAAAACCACAGGCCCAAAAUGGUGUCACUAAAAUGGCAUCACUUAGGCUAAGUCACCAAAUCGGGGCUUAAUAACUAUCCUAACUGCACUUUCAACGAAUCCGAGAAAUAUAGUGUUUUUUUUCUAAAGUUUCUCUAUUCUGAGAUAGAGAAAGGGAACGAAAAGAGAGAGAAUGUGAGCAGGGGAGAGGCAGAGAGAAAGAGAGAGGGGGAGAAUCCCAAACAGGAUCAGUGCUGUCAGAUAGGAGCCUGACAAGGACUCAAUUUAAUGAACCAUUAGAUUAUGACCUGAGCCAAAAUCAAGGGUCAGAUGUGCAACCCACUGAGCCACCCAGGAGUCCCCCAGAAAUAUAGUGUUUACCUGUCAGAAACUUUCUGGUCACCACUACAACAGCAAUCUGUCAUGUGGGCCCUCUCCAUCCCCCAAAGGAAGAAGAGAUAAUCCAUCUAAUAGGACCCUGUCCAUCCCCCUAACAGAAGAUGACCUUGCCUGGAACAACCCUUUUUUGUUGUCGUUGUUUUUGUUUUUGCUAAUAACUUUCUCAAUCCAACCUCCUUCCUAUAAAAACCUUUCAUUUUGUGGCACUCUCCAGGGCUCCCCUACUUGCUAGUCUGCUGCUAGAUUCAUGAAUAUUCAAUAAAGCCAAUUAGAUAUUUA
Neofelis nebulosa (Clouded leopard) is the source of this 1125-nucleotide long non-coding RNA. RefSeq lists it as uncharacterized. NCBI's taxonomy places the organism in Eukaryota, Metazoa, Chordata, Mammalia, Carnivora, Felidae. The record is from RefSeq and is a predicted model, not a curated record. The transcript is spliced from 2 exons.